UCCUUGAAACCCAAGACCUGAAGGACAUGUGAUCCCUUCUCCACGGCACGCUUGAGUGGUUUCCUCAGCUUUGGAAGGAGGGAUUUGGGCUAAGUGUUCUCCAGCAUUCCCCUCAGCUCUAAGGUUCUGAAGAAGAGCAAUGGACUUGGAGCCACAAUCUUGGCUUUGGGCAAGCCUCACUGACUCUUUAAACUUCUGUUUCUCCAGCAGUAAAAAGAACACCUACAUUUCCUCGUAGGGUUGUUUCAAGGGAAGCGCUUUAUAGAAUGUAAUUCUCCAAAGCAAUGUCAGCUAUUUUCUCCCUGAAGGAGGAAAAACGCCUUGAUGGUUCUGAGAUGCUGUUCACUUAGCCAAAGGGAAACCUAUCUAUGGUGGUCUCUGUCAAGGGUGUGCUGGGGUCAGUUUGACCCUGCUUCCUAGAGCCAAUUAAAGUGUAUUGGGAAUAUUUGUAUCUCAAAAACUGGCAAAUA
Antechinus flavipes (yellow-footed antechinus) is the source of this 470-nucleotide long non-coding RNA. RefSeq lists it as uncharacterized. The record is from RefSeq and is a predicted model, not a curated record. The transcript is spliced from 2 exons. Lineage: Eukaryota; Metazoa; Chordata; Mammalia; Dasyuromorphia; Dasyuridae.